CGGUGAAUACGUUCCCGGACCUUGUACACACCGCCCGUCAAGCCAUGGAAGCCGGGUGUACCUAAAGUCGAUAACCGCAAGGAGUCGCCUAGGGUAAAACUGGCGACUGGGGCU
RNAcentral lists this ribosomal RNA (114 nucleotides) under uncultured bacterium. RNAcentral describes it as "partial 16S ribosomal RNA". It matches the Rfam family "Bacterial small subunit ribosomal RNA", at positions 1360 to 1482 of the family's 1533-position model. The record is from RNAcentral.